CGAAAUGCUCAACAAAUCCAACCUGGUUAUUUACUGCCUCAUUAUUCUAUUCUUGAUCAUAAGUAAAGUGAUGGAAGGGAUCAUCAACAGUGCUAUCAAGCAGCAUUUGCUUUGCAUUAUCCUGCUCACUGACAUUCCGUUUGGGUUCAGGCAGGACCACUCUGUUCCUGACAUCAUUACAGCCUUGAUUCAAACAUGGGGAGAGGAGCUGAACAGGGAGCAGUCUGGAAGUUAAGAGAUUAUAAAAACUGACUUCGUAGAUUUGAGGCCUGCAUUUCAGAACCAGAGCUGAGCAGGAGCGAACAGAGAACAGUCUGGGAAGAAGUUAAUUUAUACAGACCUACAGUUCCUCAAGCAACUCCAACUGCCUCAAACAUUGGCCAUUCUUUAUGGGGAAACAUAUACAGUGAGUUGGAGAGUGAAAAGAAGGAGGCCUACAUUUAUUUGCCCUACCUAAGAAAAUCCCAACCCCAAUGAAUGCCAUUUUAAUUUUGGAAUAUCUACAACAACAACCAAUAAGAAAGAUUCAUAUUGUGAUUUAUUGUGUCUCUCAGGACUUCCUAAACUUCUUUCCAUACAAAGCUACAUUUAAUUGCAUUUCAUCUUUCUAUAAAAAAGAUGAAAAUAAUUAUUCUGCUGCUGUUCUGCAAGAAAUCAUUUUUGUGAUUAAACACAUAUGGCAGUAAAUUUCUGUAAAUUACCAGCUUCACAGACCUUGAAUUUUUUCUCUUCUCUAUCAUAACAAAACAUGGAGAGCACAGCUGGCAGAUAAGUGACUGUCACUUGUAAUAUGUACAAGAUCAUUUAUAUAUCACUAACUCACUAGAGGAAAUAAAGCAAUUUAUUUGUAUAAUGUUGUUCUACUGCAACUGACUAAACCUAAAAUGGAAUAACAUCAAAUGACAGCAUGAAAAACAAAACAUGUGAGUAUAAGACGGCAGCUUGAAUGGAAGGUAUUGAUUUAGUUAAAGUUUUUAGAAGAUUGCAGUAAACAAUACAUUAUACAAUCCACCUCACUUUUUUGUUCAAAUUCUGAGAGAAAUUUGCUUCAGGUGCUCUCCUUAUCCAUUAUUGUCAUUCAAAAGAUAGGACUGUGGGACAACCCUACAACAUUUUCUGAAUUGUAAACUCUUAGUUUAUUUAUUCCUAUCAAAUACAUGAAUUAGUUAUAUUAGUCCAAUGAGAAACAAUUCAUAAUCUGAUUUAGUCCACUGUGAAAAAGCAAUAAAUAAUCAGAAUGUGCUUGCAUUCAAUCAAUAGAGAUGUGAUAGUUCUUAGCAAAGCUCAGUGAAAGAAACUGAUGUAUAAUCCUAUACCUAAAAACUUAGGUUAGAACUGACAUCAGUACCUCAUCUGUAUCCUUAUUUUAAAUAUAUACUUUUGGAUACUGUGAAGAAGAAACAAAAUUUUCAGCCAUACUCAUUAGAUUGAUGUGAAUAUAUAAUAAUAAUAAUGUGCUUUUCACUUUUGUUUGUAAUGUGUCAUGCUUUAUUAUAUUACAGUCAGCUGUGAAACAAGGUCACU
Non-coding RNA from Chiloscyllium plagiosum (whitespotted bambooshark), 1524 nucleotides. NCBI's taxonomy places the organism in Eukaryota, Metazoa, Chordata, Chondrichthyes, Orectolobiformes, Hemiscylliidae. The record is from RefSeq and is a predicted model, not a curated record.